This 424-nucleotide ribosomal RNA is filed under the name uncultured bacterium. RNAcentral's name for it is "partial 16S ribosomal RNA". It matches the Rfam family "Bacterial small subunit ribosomal RNA", at positions 360 to 776 of the family's 1533-position model. The record is from RNAcentral.
AAUUUUGUACAAUGGGGGAAACCCUGAUCCAGCCAUGCCGCGUGUGCGAUGAAGGCCUUCGGGUUGUAAAGCACUUUUGUCAGGGAAGAGAAGGUUCUGGCUAAUAACCGAAACUGAUGACGUUACCUGAAGAAUAAGCACCGCCUAACUACGUGCCAGUCGCAGCGGUAAUACGUAGGGUGCAAGCGUUAAUCGGAAUUACUGAGCGUAAAGCGUGCGCAGGCGGUUCGGAAAGAAGGAUGUGAAAUCCCAUGGCACCACCUUGGAACUGCAUUCUUAACUACCGAACUAGAGUAUGUCAGAGGGGGGUAGAAUUCCGCGUGUAGCAGUGAAAUGCGUAGAUAUGCGGAGGAAUACCGAUGGCGAAGGCAGCACCCUGGGAUAAUACUGACGCUAACGAACGAAAGCGUGGGUAGCAAACAGG